UAAUAGCUCACUGGUCGAGUGAUCCUGCGCCGAAGAUUUCCGGGGCUAAAACUUACUACCGAAGCUACGGCAUCAGUAAUGAUGGGUAGGGGAGCUUCCCAUGCGGGUUGAAGCAUGACCGUAAGGACAUGUGGACAGUAUGGGAGUGAGAAUGUUGGCAUGAGUAGCGAGAUGUGGGUGAGAAUCCCACAGGCCGCAAACCCAAGGUUUCCAGGGGAAGGUUCGUCCGCCCUGGGUUAGUCGGGACCUAAGCUGAGGCCGAAAGGCGUAGGUGAUGGACAACAGGUUGAUAUUCCUGU
RNAcentral lists this ribosomal RNA (299 nucleotides) under Clostridioides difficile. Its description in RNAcentral is "partial 23S ribosomal RNA". It matches the Rfam family "Bacterial large subunit ribosomal RNA", at positions 1135 to 1442 of the family's 2925-position model. The record is from RNAcentral. Lineage: Bacteria; Bacillati; Bacillota; Clostridia; Peptostreptococcales; Peptostreptococcaceae.